GACGAACGCUGGCGGCGUGCUUAACACAUGCAAGUCGAGCGGUAAGGCCCUUUCGGGGGUACACGAGCGGCGAACGGGUGAGUAACACGUGGGUGACCUGCCCUCAGCUCUGGGAUAAGCCUGGGAAACCGGGUCUAAUACUGGAUAUGACUCCAUGACGCAUGUUGUGGGGUGGAAAGCCUUGUGCGGCUGAGGAUGGGCCCGCGGCCUAUCAGCUUGUUGGUGGGGUGAGGCCUACCAGGGGCGACGACGGGUAGCCGGCCUGAGAGGGCGACCGGCCACACUGGGACUGAGACACGGCCCAGACUCCUACGGGAGGCAGCAGUGAGGAAUCUUGCGCAAUGGGCGAAAGCCUGACGCAGCGACGCCGCGUGAGGGAUGACGGG
RNAcentral lists this ribosomal RNA (386 nucleotides) under uncultured bacterium. RNAcentral describes it as "bacterial SSU rRNA". It matches the Rfam family "Bacterial small subunit ribosomal RNA", at positions 28 to 415 of the family's 1533-position model. The record is from RNAcentral.